UACGUAGGGGCCUAGCGUUGUCCGGAUUUAUUGGGCGUAAAGAGCUCGUAGGCGGUUUGGUAAGUCGGGUGUGAAAUCUCCACGCUCAACGUGGAGGGGCCACCCGAUACUGCCAUGACUGGAGUCCGGUAGGGGAGUGUGGAAUUCCCGGUGUAGCGGUGAAAUGCGCAGAUAUCGGGAGGAACACCAGGAGCGAAGGCGACACUCUGGGCCGGAACUGACGCUGAGGAGCGAAAGCGUGGGGAGCAAACAGG
This 254-nucleotide ribosomal RNA is filed under the name uncultured bacterium. RNAcentral describes it as "partial 16S ribosomal RNA". It matches the Rfam family "Bacterial small subunit ribosomal RNA", at positions 524 to 776 of the family's 1533-position model. The record is from RNAcentral.